Molecule: ribosomal RNA, 118 nt
Filed under: Carlito syrichta (Philippine tarsier)
Lineage: Eukaryota; Metazoa; Chordata; Mammalia; Primates; Tarsiidae
Source: RNAcentral
GUCUGUGGCCAUAGCAUCCUGAAUUCACCUAAACUUGUCUGACCUUGGAAGCUAAGCAAGGUUGAACCUGGUUAAUUUGUAUGGGAAAAACAAUAUGAGUUUUAUAUAACUAUAGGGC